GUGGGUAUGCGAUGGGUCCGUGUCUGAUUAGGCAGUUGGCGGGGUAACGGCCCACCAAACCGACGAUCAGUAGCCGGCCUGAGAGGGCGGACGGCCACACUGGGACUGAGACACGGCCCAGACUCCUGCGGGAGGCAGCAGUGGGGAAUAUUGCACAAUGGGGGAAACCCUGAUGCAGCGACGCCGCGUGAAGGAAGAAGUAUCUCGGUAUGUAAACUUCUAUCAGCAGGGAAGAAAACAGACGGUACCUGACUAAGAAGCCCCGGCUAACUACGUGCCAGCAGCCGCGGUAAUACGUAGGGGGCAAGCGUUAUCCGGAUUUACUGGGUGUAAAGGGGGCGCAGACGGCCAUGGCAAGCCCGGUGUGAAAGGCAGGGGCAUAACCCCUGGACUGCACUGGGAACUGUCAGGCUGGAGUGCCGGAGGGGUAAGCGGAAUUCCUGGUGUAGCGGUGAAAUGCGUAGAUAUC
RNAcentral lists this ribosomal RNA (469 nucleotides) under uncultured bacterium. RNAcentral's name for it is "bacterial SSU rRNA". It matches the Rfam family "Bacterial small subunit ribosomal RNA", at positions 214 to 698 of the family's 1533-position model. The record is from RNAcentral.